GGCCCAUAGCUUAAUUGGUAGAGCGCCGGCCUCAUAAGCCGGAGUGUCCGGGUUCGAGUCCCGGUGGUCCCA
RNAcentral lists this transfer RNA (72 nucleotides) under Streptomyces sp. H39-S7. Its description in RNAcentral is "tRNA-Met". It matches the Rfam family "tRNA". Rfam says of the family: Transfer RNA (tRNA) molecules are approximately 80 nucleotides in length. Their secondary structure includes four short double-helical elements and three loops (D, anti-codon, and T loops). Further hydrogen bonds mediate the characteristic L-shaped molecular structure. tRNAs have two regions of fundamental functional importance: the anti-codon, which is responsible for specific mRNA codon recognition, and the 3' end, to which the tRNAs corresponding amino acid is attached (by aminoacyl-tRNA synthetases). tRNAs cope with the degeneracy of the genetic code in two manners: having more than one tRNA (with a specific anti-codon) for a particular amino acid; and 'wobble' base-pairing, i.e. permitting non-standard base-pairing at the 3rd anti-codon position. Lineage: Bacteria; Bacillati; Actinomycetota; Actinomycetes; Kitasatosporales; Streptomycetaceae. The record is from RNAcentral.